AAACUGAAGAGUUUGAUCAUGGCUCAGAUUGAACGCUGGCGGCAGGCCUAACACAUGCAAGUCGAGCGAGAAAGGCCUUCGGGCUGAGUACAGCGGCGGACGGGUGAGUAAAGCGUAGG
This 119-nucleotide ribosomal RNA is filed under the name Halioglobus sp. Its description in RNAcentral is "partial 16S ribosomal RNA". It matches the Rfam family "Bacterial small subunit ribosomal RNA", at positions 1 to 121 of the family's 1533-position model. Lineage: Bacteria; Pseudomonadati; Pseudomonadota; Gammaproteobacteria; Cellvibrionales; Halieaceae. The record is from RNAcentral.